UAAUGAGGGAAGGAAAAGAAACUAACUAGGAUUUUCUUAGUAGCGGCGAGCGAAAAGAAAUCUAGUUCAGCACUGAGUUAUUUUGUUAUUUUUAACAAAUAUAAGAUGCAGUGUAUGGAAUAUCUAUAAUCUAGUAUGAUAAAUUAACAGUCCAAGUCCUUCUUAAAUGAGGCCAUUUACCCAUAGAGGGUGCCAGGCCCGUAGUGGCGUUAAUGAUUACUAGAAGAUAUUUCUUAAGAGUCGUGUUGCUUGAUAGUGCAGCACUAAUUUGGUGGUAAACUCCAUCUAAAACUAAAUAUAACCAUGAGACCGAUAGCAAACAAGUACCGUGAGGGAAAGUUGAAAAGAACUCUGAAUAGAGAGUUAAAUAGUACGUGAAACUGCUUAGAGGUUAAACCCGAUGAACCUGAAUAUCCAAUAUGAAAAAUUCAUCAUUAAUAAUAUAUUAUAUUUAUAAUAUAUAAAUAAUGUGCAAUUUUUUCAUAUAAGGACAUUGUAAUCUGUUAGUAAAUAAAAUUUAUCAUAAGUAUCGUUUGGAUAAGUUUAUAUUUUAUUAUAAGAAAAUUUUUUUCUUUAUAAUAUAUAUAAAAUCCAAUUAAAAUGCGAUUACAGAUAAAUUAUUGACAGAUUUUAUUAUAUAACGCUUACAUAUAUAAUAUGUUAUAAUAAUGUAAUAAUCAUGUAUUAUUAUUUUUAUUAUAUGCGUUUAUAUGAUUAACAAUGCUAUAGAUUUAGGAUACCUUCGGGACCCGUCUUGAAACACGGACCAAGGAGUCUAACAUGUACGCAAGCCAUUGGGUAUUAUAAAACCUAAAGGCAUAAUUAACUUAACUGAUAAAUAUAUGGGAUCAAUUAUAUAUAUAAUAUUAUUGUAUAUAUAUUCCAUCCCGGGGCGUUCUAUAUAGUUAUGCAUUUUAAUAUAUUUUUAUAUAUUAUAUAUGCCUCUAACUAGAGCGUACCUUGAGUAUAUAUGUUGUGACCCGAAAGAUGGUGAACUAUACCUGAUCAGGUUGAAGUCAGGGGAAACCCUGAUGGAAGACCGAAACAGUUCUGACGUGCAAAUCGAUUGUCAGAAUUGGGUAUAGGGGCGAAAGACCAAUCGAACCAUCUAGUAGCUGGUUCCCUCCGAAGUUUCCCUCAGGAUAGCUGGUGCAUUUAAAUAUUAUAUAAAAUAAUCUUAUCUGGUAAAGCGAAUGAUUAGAGGCCUUAGGGCCGAAACGACCUUAACCUAUUCUCAAACUUUAAAUGGGUAAGAACCUCACCUUUCUUGAUAUGAAGGUGUAGGUUAUGAUAUAUUGUGCCCAGUGGGCCACUUUUGGUAAGCAGAACUGGCGCUGUGGGAUGAACCAAACGUGAUGUUACGGCGCCCAAAUUAACAACUCAUACUGAUACCAUGAAAGGCGUUGCUUGCUUAAAACAGCAGGACGGUGGACAUGGAAGUCGUAAUCCGCUAAGGAGUGUGUAACAACUCACCUGCCGAAGCAACUAGCCCUUAAAAUGGAUGGCGCUCAAGUUGUAUGCCUAUACAUCACCGCUAAAGUAUAUGAUUUAUUAAUACAAAUUUUUUUUUUAUAAAUUUUGAAACUCUAGUGAGUAGGAGGGUACAAUGGUGUGCGUAGAAGUGUUUGGCGUAAGCCUGCAUGGAGCCGCCAUUGGUACAGAUCUUGGUGGUAGUAGCAAAUAAUCGAAUGAGACCUUGGAGGACUGAAGUGGAGAAGGGUUUCGUGUGAACAGUGGUUGAUCACGAGUUAGUCGGUCCUAAGUUCAAGGCGAAAGCCGAAAAAUUUUAAGUUAUAUUAUUAUAUAAUAUACUUAUAAUUAUAAUUGAACGAAAGGGAAUACGGUUCCAAUUCCGUAACCUGUUGAGUAUACGUUUGUAAUUAAAAAUGGGCUUUUAUGCUCAUCCUGGUAACAGAAACAACCAUAAAGAAGCCGUCGAGAAAUAUCGAAAGAGUUUUCUUUUCUGUUUUAUAGUCGUACUACCAUGGAAGUCUUUCGAAGAGAGAUAUGGUAGAUGGACUAGAAGAGCAUGGCAUUUACUGCUGUGUCGAUAUUUUCUCCUCGGACCUUGAAAAUUUAUGGUAGGGUAACGCAAACUUCUUAACAGGCCGUACCGAUAUCCGCAGCUGGUCUCCAAGGUGAAGAGUCUCUAGUCGAUAGAAUA
Molecule: ribosomal RNA, 2164 nt
Filed under: Dasypogon diadema
Lineage: Eukaryota; Metazoa; Arthropoda; Insecta; Diptera; Asilidae
Description: eukaryotic LSU rRNA
Rfam family: Eukaryotic large subunit ribosomal RNA
Source: RNAcentral